RNAcentral lists this ribosomal RNA (387 nucleotides) under Triticum aestivum (bread wheat). RNAcentral describes it as "partial small subunit ribosomal RNA". The record is from RNAcentral. Lineage: Eukaryota; Viridiplantae; Streptophyta; Magnoliopsida; Poales; Poaceae.
AUGCAGCAGGCGACCCAGAGCGGGGAGGCGUGGCUUCGGCAGCAGGAGAGCAUGUUGGCGCCAUGGACGUGGCCGUCGCACGGCUGGCAGGGCCCCGCAGCGUCUGCCCGGCAGUACACCACGGACGCCGCACAAGCAGCACUCCGCGCUGUGGGCACCAUGCAUGUCGGCAGCAAAGCCCUGGCACCCUACAUUGCAGAUUUUCAAGUGAAGAUUUCCACAAAACUUAAUAUGAGAACCAGACUCCAAGAUUAUUUUCCCAGAGAACCAGGAGUCUUGGAUGAACACCACAUGUACAAAUAUGUGACUGGAAAGGCAGACACAAUGAAAUCGGGUAAAAUAGGGAAUCAUCGGGAAAAGAAAAAUGAAGACAGAGUGAAAACCUAG